CCUUGGUAUCUCCAGGAGAGCGGACACUAUCCCCUCAGGGUUGGGAACCUGCUAUCACUAAAUUCCAAUGUUUCUUUUCCUUGAAACUUGGUCUUUAUUGAAUCUUUUGUCCAUACUCUAAAGAUUGUUUCACUACUUUGUGACAACCAAGGCCAAAACUCCCCCCCCCUCCGCUCUCUCCCUUACUAUCCAUCAUUUUGUCCGGCGUCGCCCCCCAUCCGGUGACCCCCUGUAGAGUCACACAUGAUCACUCAGCAACCCUUUGGGACACCUGUGUGGGGGCACCUUGAGGUUGGAACAUCAUCCAGGGAACCAGCUGGACCUCCUUUGUUGCGACGAUGAAGCUUUUUUUGGACUGUUCCAUACUCUUCUACUUGUCACAACUAAAACCUCUGAAGAAGACCUUUAGGGUCGAAACGUGUGAGGAUCUAUUUUUAUAUAUGCUAUGUUUACCCUUAUCAAGCUGUAUAAUUACCUGUUGUGUGCUGUAAAAAGUUAUGGAAUUUUAAUGCCUUUUGUAUUACCGCAACUUAUGUCUUAACCAUACCCCCCAUCCCUCCUUUUGUAUGUGUUAUUCCCAAUAAACCUUUUUUACACAUUG
This is a long non-coding RNA of Rana temporaria (common frog), 601 nucleotides long. RefSeq lists it as uncharacterized. NCBI's taxonomy places the organism in Eukaryota, Metazoa, Chordata, Amphibia, Anura, Ranidae. The record is from RefSeq and is a predicted model, not a curated record. The transcript is spliced from 4 exons.